UGUGUGUGUAUAUCUCUGACAGAUGCUGAGGGAACGUCCCAACGGCUCCCUCCACCGGUCUGAAAGUCAGCAAGCUGUGAAAUCCCCCCUCUACUGGACUCCCCUGACCCAGACCGAGAACAGAUAGUCAAACUCUCAACCAAGCUGAGCUCUGUGUCACUCAGAGGGAUCAGCGCCUCCAACUCGGCCAACGACGUCAGCGGCAACGAUUUCCAUGGCAACUACGCCUUUGAGGGGAUCGGGGACGAUGACCUGUAAUAUUCAACCCUCUUCCUCCUCCUCCUCAUCAUCCUCCCCCUGACUAACGCGGACCCGCAAAGAUUCCAAGCCGAGCUGAGCCAGGCAGAAAUGAGUUUGUCUGGUUCCUGAUUGUAGCCCUUCCCGAGGGUCUGCAAACCAACCAUAUCUUCUUGUUCCAUCCUCUUCCUAAAAGGCCGCAUCCUAAAUGACACCCUGUUUACUUACGCAGCGCGGCACUUUUUAAGCAGAGUCCUGUUGGCCAUUUGGGACACAGCCAAAACUGCCAUCUAUCUCAGUGGUUUCCCCGACCUUUUUUGAACCGUGCCACACUUUAAUGGGAGAUUUAAAAAAAAAUAAUUGGCACGCCUAAAAUAUCCCUAUUAAUUUGUUUUAGUGGUAAUGACCUCCAUCUGAUCUGAAACAUACUGCAAAUCAUCUAUUUUCUGUGACAAAUGUGUUUUAAUCGAUUAAAUAGGAUUAAUUUGAACUGUUUUCAUAGUUCCUUACUCAUGAUGGUUAAUUUGUGUGUACCCCUUUAAGAGAACCCAGGACUCUGCACUAUAUUUUGUAGUAUUUCCUGCUGGUUAAAUAGGUCUUUAAUUGUUAAAGGUUUAAGCUACAGACUAGUGGUUUUCUGCAUUGUAGAAGUGCAAACACAGACACCAAGCCAUGCUCCAUAAGAAAUGACUGACUUUGGCUAAGCCAAAUCAGACUUGCCUGUACUAAUGGUUUUCACAGACAAAAUCUAAUGGUUUUCACGGCCCAUUCUCUUGUUCAUCAAUCAACUCGUUGUUUCUCCUAUGUUCUUAAUAAAUGUCAAUAAUAUUUAGAGAAUAAAAUCUCAAACUCGCAGUCUUAAGCUGGAAGUGGUUUAAACGAGGCCAUCGCAACUGUCAUUUUGAACGUGUUAUUAUUAGCAUAAUAAUGGGCAAUGGAUGUUUUGCACUUCUGGACCAUGUAGCAGUCUAUAUAGAUUUAUGUUCUUCUGUAAAAAAUUAGGACAUUCCGUAAUUCUAAAAGGAGCCUCGUCUUCAUCACAAAGUGUCAUUCUAAGUGUAUUUUUGUGUUUUCUUUUAGUGUGUUGAUUCUGUCACAUCAGAAAUCCAAGGUACAAACCAGAUAACUGAUUUUGUAAAAAGGGUGUCAGAUUCUCUCUCUCUCUCUCAGAGCUGUGUCUUCUUCCUUUUGACAACCAA
This is a long non-coding RNA of Salvelinus sp. IW2-2015, 1436 nucleotides long. RefSeq lists it as uncharacterized. NCBI's taxonomy places the organism in Eukaryota, Metazoa, Chordata, Actinopteri, Salmoniformes, Salmonidae. The record is from RefSeq and is a predicted model, not a curated record.